This 405-nucleotide ribosomal RNA is filed under the name uncultured bacterium. RNAcentral describes it as "bacterial SSU rRNA". It matches the Rfam family "Bacterial small subunit ribosomal RNA", at positions 355 to 776 of the family's 1533-position model. The record is from RNAcentral.
GGAGGAAUAUUGGACAAUGGGGGAAACCCUGAUCCAGCAACGCCGCGUGAGGGAUGAAGACCUUCGGGUUGUAAACCUCUUUUCAGGGAGACGAGCAAGGACGGUAUCCCUGGAAUAAGCCACGGCUAACUACGUGCCAGCAGCCGCGGUAAUACGUAGGUGGCGAGCGUUAUCCGGAUUUACUGGGCGUAAAGCGCUUGUAGGCGGCUCUGUAAGUUGGACGUGAAAGCUCCGGGCUUAACUCGGAGAGGCCGUUCAAUACUGCAGGGCUAGAGGAUGUCAGAGGAAGGUGGAAUUCCUGGUGUAGCGGUGAAAUGCGUAGAUAUCAGGAGGAACACCCGUGGCGAAGGCGGCCUUCUGGGGCAUUCCUGACGCUGAGAAGCGAAAGCUAGGGGAGCAAACAGG